Molecule: ribosomal RNA, 490 nt
Filed under: uncultured Geobacteraceae bacterium
Lineage: Bacteria; Pseudomonadati; Thermodesulfobacteriota; Desulfuromonadia; Geobacterales; Geobacteraceae
Description: bacterial SSU rRNA
Rfam family: Bacterial small subunit ribosomal RNA
Source: RNAcentral
GRGGAUUUYCAAYGAYGYUUUGCUKCUGGKWGAAAGUUGGCGCACGGGUGAGUAACGCGUGGAUAACCUGCCCUGGUAUCUGGGAUAACAUCUCGAAAGGGGUGCUAAUACCGGAUAAGCCUACGGAUUCCUCGGAGUCUGCAGGAAAAGGAGGCCUCUAUUUAUAAGCUUCCGUAUCAUGAUGGGUCCGCGUACCAUUAGCUAGUUGGUGGGGUAAUGGCCUACCAAGGCGACGAUGGUUAGCUGGUCUGAGAGGAUGAUCAGCCACACUGGAACUGAGACACGGUCCAGACUCCUACGGGAGGCAGCAGUGGGGAAUUUUGCGCAAUGGGGGAAACCCUGACGCAGCAACGCCGCGUGAGUGAUGAAGGCUUUCGGGUCGUAAAGCUCUGUCAGAGGGGAAGAAAUGAAACGUGCUAAUAUCACGUUUUCUUGACGGUACCCUCAAAGGAAGCACCGGCUAACUCCGUGCCAGCAGCCGCGGUAAUAC